RNAcentral lists this long non-coding RNA (467 nucleotides) under Mytilus galloprovincialis (Mediterranean mussel). Lineage: Eukaryota; Metazoa; Mollusca; Bivalvia; Mytilida; Mytilidae. The record is from RNAcentral.
CACAUGUGUAACUUACUUGCAUUUAGGGCAGUGUUCACACGCGUUACUUGCCUGCAUUUAGGGCAGUGGUCACAUGCAUAACUUGUUUGCAUUUAGGGCAGUGGUCACCUGUGUAUCUUGCCUGCAUAUUCACAGUUCAGUUCUAAUGUUAUAUAGACAAGAAAUAGAAAACAACACGUUUGAUAACUUAUUGCGUCAUGUCACUAAAAUUGUGAAUAUUUGUGAUUUAAUUUGUAAGAAGCCAUUUAACUUUUUUUUCGAAAAUUUGAAACGAGUUUCUUGGAAAUGUACUGUUCAGUAAAUUAAUGAACACAUGCCACAUAUAUACUGAAUUCAGUUAUUGUAAAUACGAAUCUUUGGCUGCUAAUUACCUUUCGGGUUUUAAAGCCAAAGUUUACCGAUUGUGACCUUAUUCUUCAGCAAGACUGGAUUAUUCAACCAAUCAUGUGAUUUAUUCUUCAGCACCA